GCCGCCUUAGCUCAAUGGUAGAGCACUCGCUUUGUAAGCGAAUGGUUCCCGGUUCAAGUCCGGGAGGCGGCUCAA
This 75-nucleotide transfer RNA is filed under the name Patescibacteria group bacterium. RNAcentral's name for it is "tRNA-Thr". It matches the Rfam family "tRNA". From Rfam's summary of the family: Transfer RNA (tRNA) molecules are approximately 80 nucleotides in length. Their secondary structure includes four short double-helical elements and three loops (D, anti-codon, and T loops). The record is from RNAcentral.